AAUAAGUGUAAUUUUACACCGUUCAUACCCAACGUUUGAUUGUUCGUCUUAUUUAAUUUUUUUUUACGAUUAGUAUUUUUAUUAGUAUUAGAUGAUAAAACAUGAAUAGUAAUAUAUGCGUGACUAAUUUCUUUUAAUUUUUUUUAUAAAUUUUUGAAAUAAGACAGACGAUCAAACAUUGGACACGGAUACCUACAGCUGCACUUAUU
Oryza sativa Japonica Group (Japanese rice) is the source of this 209-nucleotide microRNA precursor. It matches the Rfam family "MIR812 microRNA precursor family". The record is from Rfam. Lineage: Eukaryota; Viridiplantae; Streptophyta; Magnoliopsida; Poales; Poaceae.